GGCCUAGUAGCUCAGCGGAUAGAGCAGCCCCCUAACGAAGGGUUGGUCGGGGGUUCGAAUCCCUCCUAGGAUU
RNAcentral lists this transfer RNA (73 nucleotides) under Nocardioides deserti. RNAcentral's name for it is "tRNA-Val". It matches the Rfam family "tRNA". Rfam says of the family: Transfer RNA (tRNA) molecules are approximately 80 nucleotides in length. Their secondary structure includes four short double-helical elements and three loops (D, anti-codon, and T loops). Further hydrogen bonds mediate the characteristic L-shaped molecular structure. tRNAs have two regions of fundamental functional importance: the anti-codon, which is responsible for specific mRNA codon recognition, and the 3' end, to which the tRNAs corresponding amino acid is attached (by aminoacyl-tRNA synthetases). tRNAs cope with the degeneracy of the genetic code in two manners: having more than one tRNA (with a specific anti-codon) for a particular amino acid; and 'wobble' base-pairing, i.e. permitting non-standard base-pairing at the 3rd anti-codon position. Lineage: Bacteria; Bacillati; Actinomycetota; Actinomycetes; Propionibacteriales; Nocardioidaceae. The record is from RNAcentral.